Pelobates cultripes (western spadefoot toad) is the source of this 641-nucleotide non-coding RNA. The record is from the annotation of a GenBank genome assembly. Lineage: Eukaryota; Metazoa; Chordata; Amphibia; Anura; Pelobatidae.
CCUCAGCCCUGAAGUCUCACUCCCUAGCUCAGAACUCAACUCCCAACUUUGACCCACUUUCCAACCCCAACCACUUCAUAGAUCAACACUUUAAUGCCCAGUCCAGAAGUCUCAUUCCCUAGUUUGAAGACCCACUCUUCAGCUCUAAAGAUCCCUUCCCAAUGCCAGACCCAGCCACAAUACCUUCUGUCAUCUCCCUUGAAGUGCUGUGUGUGGGAGGGAGACCCUCACUAAGCCCCUUUUCAAACCGAGAGCAGAGACUGGAAAAUGCAUACAGUUUGACAGUCCCUGCUACCACAAAAUACCACCAAUGAGGAAGGUAGCCUCUAAAUGGCAUAUUAAAAUAAAUUAAAGACUGGUCUAAUACAGCAUACUGAAGGGCUGCUCAAUUUUAUAACAUGACAGGAGGCUUCGUAUUUGCUUUAGUCUCUCUUUACUAGAACUCCACAGCAGCACAGAAAAACAACCAAUCAGAAAAAAGUUAGUUACUAUAAAACUCCCCUCCCCAUGCAUCAUUUCCUCUUUCUUUGCUGCUCUGCAGUCAGUACAGGUCAGAGUACCACUGCCUCCUGCUUAUAGUUGGUGGCUUUGGGAUUUAGUAUGACUUAUUUAUGAUUUAUAUUUAUUAUAUUCAGUUACCG